Long non-coding RNA from Harpia harpyja (harpy eagle), 1588 nucleotides. RefSeq lists it as uncharacterized. Lineage: Eukaryota; Metazoa; Chordata; Aves; Accipitriformes; Accipitridae. The transcript has 3 exons. The record is from RefSeq and is a predicted model, not a curated record.
UUCUGUGCUCUAUUUUCGUAAAUUUCCUGUUUUGUUAGUUUCUUGCCAUUGACCUCAAAUCUCUGCAUUUCCCAGGUGCCUUCUCGCUGGCGCAAAGGAGCCGCUGGGCCACUGCCUCUCCCUUGGCAGCACAGAGAGGACCAGGAUCCUGCCUGGAGGUCUGGGAGGACUGACCCUGCCCCCCAAGGAAGGUCCCUUCAGCUCCUCUGUGACAGAAACAGGUGACAAACUUCAGAAAGGACACCGGUGAUACUGGACUUCUGCCAGAGUUGGCCCAGGUGAGAGAUUCCAUGACACUGAAAGCACAGCGAUGAUCACGCAGCCAUGUCGCAGCAGUAUGCGCCGGAGCCUGAGGCUGUCAGGACGCAGCUUGGAGACGCAUGGGAUGCCAAGCAGAGGAAACUGAUGCACAGCCAACUGAAGAAUUGCCCUGUCCUAAACUCAUCUGAAGGAAAGGAAACUGAAGAAGAAAAUCUGACUUGUGGAGCUGUUCAGCACAGAAUAUUCUUGCAGAGGUCAACAAACUGAAGAAAUUCAGUGCCUAAGAAACCAAGAGAUUGGAACUUUGUUAAAGAUCUCAAGAAAAAGAUUUGCACGUAUAUUAACAGAAUGCAGACAUCCUUGUUCUUGGCCUUAAACUUUUAAUGGCAGUUAUCCUUCCAUGCAUAAGAAAGGUUGGAUGACUCCUUCAUUUUCAGAGGAAGUAGCAAAAUAAGAAAUUUUCCAGGUGAUUAUUUCACUGUACCCUAUUCGCAAAAUGAAUGCAAAAUAAUUUGUGAAGUCUACAACCUUAGAUGGUGAUCUAAGUUCAGUUCCUGGUAUGUUUGUUCUCAGCACAGAUGCUGAAAACUGAACUGAUUAAAAAAACCACAAAAACCAACCACCAGACCCCCAGUGCCCCCAAUGAACGCUGUAAAACAGAUUUAUUUACUUUUAUCUCCUAGCAGUAAGCCUAAUGAUCAAGUUUCAUUGAAAGGUAGACAUACAGUUUUAAAACUAUGAUAUACAUGGAAGUACACAGGUAGCAAAUAGUAAUUAAAACCCCCAACUAUUAAAGACCUCAUUAGAUGCCCCAAACCAAGAAACUCACAAUCACUAACAAAAACAUCAGAAAAUUCUGCUGUUUGUGGAGACAGUAUCAUCACCUGUAAGUUUUCCAGCACUUAAGUGACCAUUGGUCUCUUGUUUAAUCAGCAUUUCUGGACACAUCCUUGCAUCUACACCUUUCAACUUUUUUUUGAUAUUUGAUAUAUUUGAUACUACAUGUGCAAUCAGUAUGUAGGACUACACUCUAACACAGCUUUUAGUUGCAUAAGCUCAAUUAGUUGCAAUAACUAAUGGGAACUCUUUUCAACUGCACCCACAAGUCAGGUAAGUGUCUAACUGCUUGCAAAUCUGCCCUGAAGUGACAAGAAUAGGUUGACAACUGACAAAAACCAAGUUCUAGUAUAAACCAGAAUGUAUGAUGAUUAUGGUUUAUCUUGUAAAAUCGGACCUCUAAGAUGCACUUCUGUUCUAUUGUUACACAAAUAAACUCUGAUGGAAAGUACUUCCACAAGCGUUAGUUUCCACGACAAAUAAUGUCUGU